UCCGUAGGUGAACCUGCGGAAGGAUCAUUAAUGAAUAACUAUGGUGUAGGUUGUAGCUGGCUCCUCGGAGCAUUGUGCACACCCGCCAUUUUUAUCUUUCCACCUGUGCACCGACUGUAGGUCUGGAUAACUCUCGUCUCUUCACGGAGACGGACACGAGGUUUGGCUCCGGCCUCUCCUUGAAUUUCCAGGUCUAUGUCUUUUUAUACACCCCAAUAGUAUGACAUUGAAUGUAGUCAAUGGGCUUUGUAGCCUAUAAAACACUAUACAACUUUCAGCAACGGAUCUCUUGGCUCUCGCAUCGAUGAAGAACGCAGCGAAAUGCGAUAAGUAAUGUGAAUUGCAGAAUUCAGUGAAUCAUCGAAUCUUUGAACGCACCUUGCGCUCUUUGGUAUUCCGAGGAGCAUGCCUGUUUGAGUGUCAUGAAAACCCUCAACCCUAGAUUGGUUAAAACCUUUCUUUGGUUUGGAUUUGGACGUUUGCCGAUGAUAAGUCGGCUCGUCUUAAAAGUAAUAGCUGGAUCUGUCUCGCGACAUGGUUUGACUUGGGCGGUAAUAAGGUAUUUCGGCUAAGGGGGACAUCUUCGGGAUGGGCCGGCGGUUGCAGGGACUAAAGGACCGGCUUUCUAAUCCAUUGGGAUCUUACGGGAUUAAUAUUCUUGACAUCUGGCCUCAAAUCAGGUAGGACUACCCGCUGAACUUAAGCAUAUCAAUAAGCGGA
This 720-nucleotide ribosomal RNA is filed under the name uncultured fungus. RNAcentral describes it as "eukaryotic LSU rRNA". The stretch from base 270 to 423 matches the Rfam family "5.8S ribosomal RNA". Lineage: Eukaryota; Fungi. The record is from RNAcentral.